GACGAACGCUGGCGGCGUGGAUUAGGCAUGCAAGUCGGACGGUAGGGCUUUAUCGUAAGAUAGAGUUUGAGAGUGGCGAACGGGUGAGUAACACGUAGGAAUCUACCCUUAAGACGGGGACAACCCAGGGAAACUUGGGCUAAUACCGGAUGAGAGUGCGAGAGAUUGCAUUUAAAAGGAUGGCGAAAGUUGUCGCUUAGGGAUGAGCCUGCGGUCUAUUAGUUAGUUGGUGAGGUAAGAGCUCACCAAGGCGAUGAUAGAUAGGCGGCCUUAACGGGUGGUCGCCCACACUGGGAUUGAGAUACGGCCCAGACUCCUACGGGAGGCAGCAGUGGGGAAUAUUGCACAAUGGGGGAAACCCUGAUGCAGCGAUGCCGCGUGGAGGAAGAAGGUUUUCGGAUUGUAAACUCCUGUCUUCAGGGACGAUAAUGACGGUACCUGAGGAGGAAGCACCGGCUAACUACGUG
This 467-nucleotide ribosomal RNA is filed under the name uncultured bacterium. RNAcentral describes it as "bacterial SSU rRNA". It matches the Rfam family "Bacterial small subunit ribosomal RNA", at positions 28 to 507 of the family's 1533-position model. The record is from RNAcentral.